GGAGAAGGAAGUUGACCUGCGAUUGACGGAAGAUCACUAUGUCUCAUCUGAAACAAUACCGGACGUAAACUUGGGAAGUGAUGAUCCUUCCUCUCAAGGACAGACAGACCAAAGUAGCGUAAACAAACCCGUAGAGAGCAUGUUGAGUCUGGUUGAAGAGUCAGCCAGUGAGCCGGCUGAAGAGAAUAUGAUGGUUGUGAGGGAAGAGACACCGUCCGAAGGGCUUGCAAUAGAUCCGAUUCAAGUUUGUCUACCAUUGUCCCAAACAACCACUAUGCUGAACACUUGAGACAGAAAAUGAACCAACCUCUCUGCUACAAUUUGAAGGAACUACAAAAGCACUCCUGAACCCCCCAACAACUUGAAGAAUGCACACCCACACUUUCCCCAGCUCCUUCUAAAAUAUAAGUUCAUCAGAGUAAAAUCAAUGUUUAUUCGUAUAUUCUUAUUCUUAUAAUACGUUAUACAUGAUCACGUAGUAAUCUAGCCCCAGAACUAAAAUACUGUUGUAAAAACCGGACUGGACAAAACCGGUCCGACCGAACCGAUUGAAAAUACAAAUUUGUUCAAAAUGUAAGAGGGAGGGUUCGAACCCCUAACCUCGAAGAACUAAA
Long non-coding RNA from Arachis duranensis, 614 nucleotides. RefSeq lists it as uncharacterized. The record is from RefSeq and is a predicted model, not a curated record. The transcript is spliced from 5 exons. Lineage: Eukaryota; Viridiplantae; Streptophyta; Magnoliopsida; Fabales; Fabaceae.